RNAcentral lists this ribosomal RNA (438 nucleotides) under uncultured bacterium. RNAcentral describes it as "partial 16S ribosomal RNA". It matches the Rfam family "Bacterial small subunit ribosomal RNA", at positions 29 to 507 of the family's 1533-position model. The record is from RNAcentral.
AACGAACGCUGGCGGCAUGCCUAACACAUGCAAGUCGAACGGGACGGUCCUGUCUAUUUGCGCUCGGCUACGUAACACCUGGGAACCAACCCGUGGGUUCGCUAUACCUCCCUGAGAGGGGACCUAAGACCGGUUAAGCUAUUCCGGGCAAGGAGUUGUCGCUUUGGGAUGGGCUCGCGGUGGAUUAGCUUGUUGGUAAGGUAGGGGCCUACCAUGACUAGGUUGGGUAGCUGGUCUGUUAUGAUGGCCUGCCACAUUGGGACGGAGCUACGGCCCAGACUCCUACGGGAGGCAGCAGUGGAGAAGAUUGCACAAGGGGCGGAAGCCUGAUGCAGCAACGCCGCGUGCGGGAUGACGGCCAUCGGGUUGGAUACCGCUUUCGCCUGUGACGAAGCGAGAGUGACGGUAAUGGGUAAAGAAGCACCGGCUAACUACGUG